Molecule: ribosomal RNA, 292 nt
Filed under: uncultured Bacteroidota bacterium
Lineage: Bacteria; Pseudomonadati; Bacteroidota
Description: uncultured Bacteroidetes bacterium partial 16S ribosomal RNA
Source: RNAcentral
GGACUACUCGGGUAUCUAAUCCUGUUUGAUCCCCACACUUUCGUGCUUCAGCGUCAGUUACAUGUUAGUAGGCUGCCUUCGCAAUCGGUGUUCUGUGCAAUAUCUAAGCAUUUCACCGCUACACUGCACAUUCCGCCUACCUCACAUGUACUCAAGACACACAGUAUCAAAGGCAAUUCCACAGUUGAGCCGUGGGAUUUCACCUCUGACUUAUGCGCCCGCCUACGCACCCUUUAAACCCAAUAAAUCCGGAUAACGCUCGCAUCCUCCGUAUUACCGCGGCUGCUGGCAC